RNAcentral lists this ribosomal RNA (300 nucleotides) under Triticum aestivum (bread wheat). RNAcentral describes it as "partial small subunit ribosomal RNA". The record is from RNAcentral. Lineage: Eukaryota; Viridiplantae; Streptophyta; Magnoliopsida; Poales; Poaceae.
AUGGUCUGCAUCACAAGAAGCUUACCGGAUUUCCAAAAGAUGACAAGGCCAAAGUUAGGGCAAAGUGUGAUUGGCCAACAUGUCCAUUUAUGCCCCAAAAGGAAGGACAAUACGUUAGUUAACUCAACAAGAAUUGCUGCCAAGUAUGACAAGCUUAUCAGAUCUAACCUAAUGUGGAAGAUUUCAAGCUUGAAACAACAUAUUCAGGAAGACAUGUUUGCCAAUGUGACCACUGCUCAAGUGAAGAGAGCUAAGAAGAUUGUGAUGAAAAAGUGGCUUGAUGCAGGAAAGGUCAAAUAG